CACGGGGAGCGGUGGAGGGUGGCAGCACUCGCAGCGGAUGCACUCUCUUUGCGCGGGCCCCGCCCUUCCUUGCCUCACGCGAGGGCCCCGCGGGCGGCCGCGCCCUGGUGGUAUCGCGAGACUCUAGCCCUCGUGGUGGCGCUUCUUUCCUCGCCGGCCUCCACCUACCCGCGACGCCUCGACCCGCCCCCACAGCGGCCCAACUUGUCUGGAGUUGAGGUCCUGAGCGCCUAGUUCCUGCACCCGGCCAACGGAGAGCCCCGCGCCGCCGCCUCGCCUCCGGGAUCCCCCGCUCCGCUCCUCUCCGUUCCCGCGACGCGAAAAGUUGGCGAGGAGGCGCGCUCCUAGCCGGUGCGGGGCUCUCGGUCAUCGGCGCCCCGGGCGCCUGAGGCGCGGCUCUGCUGGGUCCUGUGGUACCAGAGUUCCUUCCCCGGGAUCCUCUCACCAGUCGCUGCGGGUACGGGCUCCUGGCCCCGCCUCCCCGUCCCAGAGCGGUGCAAGGGGAGCAGGAGCAGAUGGAGCAGGGGUAGAAGACCCGAGGACUUUGGGCGGCGGGAGCGGAGACUCUAGAGCGAGCGUGAGAAGGAGCCACAGGCUGCCCGGGUGGAGGAGCGAGGCUGACAGCGCGGUGGCGGCGCCAGGGACCCCGCGGCACAGAGGCAGCUCCGCUGUCCAGGCCGCCCCCCGGGUCCUGAUGAAGAAUGCAAGUGUAAUUUGGCCUGGAAGGCAAGAUGCUACUGAAUAAAACAAAGCAUAUGUGGAGGUAGAUGGACUUUGGUUUUAAUCUCAGAUCUUCUAAUUAGCUAUCUUUAAAGUAGGGAAAUUGUCUGCUUUAUGCUUUUUGAGGACACAGUGUUGAUUGUUUCUCUUACAUUUCACUCAGAUCUGACACAGUGUUUUAGUGUCUUCAAUUUGAGAGUGUUGAACAUUUUGUACUUGUGAGUCAAGUUCUGCGGAAAUAAAGAUGGCACAUUGAUCUAUGCCCUUGACUUG
Long non-coding RNA from Bos mutus (wild yak), 993 nucleotides. The record is from Ensembl. NCBI's taxonomy places the organism in Eukaryota, Metazoa, Chordata, Mammalia, Artiodactyla, Bovidae.